UGUUGCGUAUUAUACUUAUUGGCUUAGUAAACGCAACAAAUAAUUAAUAGGCGACUUUAUAAGCCAGCAUCGAAAAAAUCCCCACACUACUGCAAUAGUGUGGGGAUUGGUGCAUUAAU
RNAcentral lists this small RNA (119 nucleotides) under Staphylococcus aureus. The record is from RNAcentral. Lineage: Bacteria; Bacillati; Bacillota; Bacilli; Caryophanales; Staphylococcaceae.